This 253-nucleotide ribosomal RNA is filed under the name uncultured bacterium. Its description in RNAcentral is "partial 16S ribosomal RNA". It matches the Rfam family "Bacterial small subunit ribosomal RNA", at positions 524 to 776 of the family's 1533-position model. The record is from RNAcentral.
UACGGAGGGGGCUAGCGUUGUUCGGAAUUACUGGGCGUAAAGCGCACGUAGGCGGCUUUGUAAGUUAGAGGUGAAAGCCCAGGGCUUAACCCUGGAAUUGCCUUUAAGACUGCAUCGCUUGAAUUGUGGAGAGGAGAGUGGAAUUCCCGGUGUAGCGGUGAAAUGCGCAGAUAUCGGGAAGAACACCCGUGGCGAAGGCGGCUCUCUGGGACGGUACUGACGCUGAGACGCGAAAGCGUGGGGAGCGAACAGG